Alosa sapidissima (American shad) is the source of this 405-nucleotide long non-coding RNA. RefSeq lists it as uncharacterized. Lineage: Eukaryota; Metazoa; Chordata; Actinopteri; Clupeiformes; Clupeidae. The transcript has 3 exons. The record is from RefSeq and is a predicted model, not a curated record.
CUAUGAUCAAACCGCACGUCUUGUUAAGUUUGUCCUACGGUCUUAACCGUAGUUCAUGUUGCUAUGACAAUUCCAUACUGGCUUGGGCAAGAACAGGGAGCUAACAGUUAUCGUACCUCAGCUAGAAAACCUUCUGGUCUAAUAAGGCAGUUGCUAAUGCGCGAUAGGCCUACUUCAGUUUUAGCGUGAGCAUAAUUUCAUUACGGCGAAUUGUAACCUUACUCUCCAUCUCAGACACUGGGAACCGUAAUGGUAGAGAAAUGACGCCCAUUACCUUGAGACUUGAAGAGUUUUGGGGUAAAUUUAGCUAAAUGAUGGUUGAGUGUGGGCCGGACUGCUGUAGCUGCUGUGGGAGUGUGUCGGUGUGUGACUACUGCAUGCUGUGUGCCGAGACCUGGAACUGCA